Gasterosteus aculeatus aculeatus (three-spined stickleback) is the source of this 1705-nucleotide long non-coding RNA. Lineage: Eukaryota; Metazoa; Chordata; Actinopteri; Perciformes; Gasterosteidae. The record is from Ensembl.
GCAAAAACACAUUUCAAUGACCACAGACAAAAUGAGUUCAUCCUCAUGUGUCUAGACAUGUAAGAACUGUUGGUAUAUUGUAUGUGCAUACAACCUCCUGAUGAACAGUACCAGAUCUGCAGGCAGCCCUCACUGCUCUCAUAUAUGGAAAACAAAAUACUUGGCGCUGGUCCACAGACAACACUGAGGCCCAUUAUCUUCUGCAGGCUCGCUAAGGCAGCUUUAAACGGGACGUUCAUGCAGGCCUCUCAGGCUGACCGGCUAUUACGGCAGUUGCGUAAGGGAAAGUCCAAGACCGGAGACACAAGAAAACAUGAACUCACUGACAUAAAAUUCGACAAGACACCUAGACAACUCAGACCAAUCAGGAAACUCACUCAAUGAAGAGACAAGAGACAAGGGAUACACAUGGAUGAAAUACAGUAGGGAGGUGCAGGUGAUUGGACACAGGAGGAAACAAAUAGGGACACGGCAGACAAUCACCCACAGGAGAAAACACCAGGGCAGGAAGUGAAGUUGACCCAGGGACACGAGAGGCAGGAAACUACAAAAUAAAAUAGGAAAUAAACCCACAUUGUGGCAAGUUGUAAAAAACGUUUGGCUACUUUGAAUAACUGUCAAGUAAACAUACAGUGUGAUGAUCCAUCACAUGCUGAACUGAAUUGGAAGCUUUGAGCUUUAAGUUGUUUUAUUUCACUGUGUCUUGAAUAAGGCAAAUAUCACAAAGAUGCAAUAAUCUCUUCCGAUAUUAGCAGAUCUGAGGUGUGGCGUCUCCACUAUAUCAGCCUUGAUUUCAAACAUAGUAACCCGUCUUGAAUAUUGUAAGCGAACAGGAAGUGUAAUCUAAAGAUGAAUUUAGAUUUUGAAAGCACAAUUCAUGAGUAUUACUUUUCCGGUGUCAGACAGUCCUGUUGUUUGGUGAGGACGGUUCUCUCUGUUUAUCUUUUCAGAAUACAGAUGAAAGGACGGUGGCCAAACAUCUGUGCGCUGGCACUGAGCAGCAACAGCAGGCGGUUAAGACAGACAUGGAGAGACGUAACAUCUGGAGAGCUGGCUGCUGUGAACACACAUCAUGUCAAGAAACCAGACGUGACGACUAUUUAGAGCAGAGGCAAUAACACAGGUUUGUGUUUGGGCAGAUGGACGGGAGUUGGCCGAUGCUCCCUGGGGAUGAAAUCAACUCUGCCGUAGACCGAGCUCCAUGUUUAUCUUUGGGCUUUAUUAGAUGUUGAUGUUGGCUGUGCGAGAGGACCACUUGUAUAAAAAAAUAUUUUUUAAAGGAAAAUGGAGAGAGAGCAGGACAGAGAGUGAGAUGGAGGCUGAAGGAGAGUAGUGGUACUGUUAUCCUUGGAAGGCUCAGCCAGUGGCGCAGCUGUCCGUCACACUGCUGAAGAAACAACUUUCUGGGUUCGGCCUUUAACACACUGUGCAGCGCUUGAUUUGACCCGGCGUUGGCCCUGUGUGUGUCCGCGUAUUACACUUUGUGUGCUUUGUCAGCACUUGGAAAACACACUGUUUUGAACUCCACCUACGGCGGGAGUGUGAAAGAUGUUUUUGGUUUGCUUCCAGUUAAACCAGCAUUAGUCAUGCUGGUUUAAACCACGUGUGGAGAGCAGCUUUCUUGGAGCAUGCCACAGCAUUCUUGACCCUGCAAUAUGCAAUAUUAAGGCAACGACUUUCACCACAGUGGAUUUCUGUAUUCAGC